AUUCCUUAUUCUGAUUCUUCAUCAUUAGCCCAUAUUACACAAAUUGUUUAUUCUCCAAAGUCCUAAAGCAUUUACGUGUCCAUAUGAGUGUGCUAGCUUCAGAGUUUCGUAACAUGUUCUUGCUAUAAACUACACAAAACUAGUAAUAACUACACUUUUGCUAUGCAUGGAAAGGGUAACACCCUACGUUACAUAAUUAUAGUAAUAACUACACUUAUCCCAAACUUAACUUUAUUUUGUACAUCUUCAGGAACCAACAUUAUCUUUUUAAAACACCAAUAACAGCUAAGCAUUGUUUAUUAAAACCUAGCAUUUUCGAAGCCGUGCAAGUCGCCAACUUUAUUCAACGAUUUCUUCAUCCUAGCCAUUUUAGCCAGCUUCUCAGCGGCUCUCCAAGCCGAUGUCGGCGUCAACACUUCGCCUCCGUCAUCCACCAACCUUACCUCUCUCUCGCUCUCUCCACUCCGCCCCGUCCCCACCGUCUCCCGGUGCUGUCUUCUCCUCUGAAGCUCUGCAAGCUCAGCGUCCAAGCUGUGCACGUACUCCUCGGCAGAGCUGAACUGCACUAGAAGCGCACGAGCCGAAGCAAGCAAAUGAUGAGCGCUCAAAAACUCUUUGUGUUUCGCCAUCCUUCUUGACUCGGCUACGGCUCGGCUGGUUAUAAACACAUUCCUCAACCGCUCAAGCCUGCCGCCGCAGGGAAAAGAAUUCUUGGGCGGCACCACCGUAAAUGGGUGUUCUGCACUGUACACGAAUUUUUGAGAUGCUGGGUCUUUGUUGAAACACUGCACUGUCAACACGUGGUGGUUCCCCAAUGAUGACGUUGGCACCCUGACCUCCACCAACAACUCCUUCUCUUCUUCGCCGUAUAAAUCACCAAGCCUAGCCGAGUUUACGUUUAGCGCGGUGGGUCCCCCGCUGCAUGAAUAAACGGCUCGAAUUUCAGCCGGCGCAGAGAAGCCAAGCCGAAUUCUUAAAUCCUGCACCGCCACGCUUAAUGUUCUGUUAAUGUAUUGGGUAAAAUCAUCCUCAAACGGUUCGGUUGUUAAACCGGUCGUUUUUAUGUCGAACCCAAACGAGUGAACCGGAACUUCAACACAAUCGAACCCGAUAGAGGACACGUAGCUCAAGCUUCUCCGUUGAUUAUUGCUCAUGCUGUUGUGAUCACCGUUGGAUAGAAUUAAAAUCCUCGCUAGAGGAUUUCUCUCCCUGCGAUCUUCGAGAAUUUUCCCCGCUUUCUUGAUCGCUUCUUCACCAACACCGGAUCCUUGGCCACACACGACCCCGUCCACCACGCGCCGAGCCGUGCGUUGUCCCUGAGCCGUCAUUCUGCGAAGAGGUAACAACCGCUUCGAAUCAGCCGACGAAGCCACGACGGCAAGCCGGUCAGCAUCCCCGACAGAGGAUACCACCAGUCGCAUCACGCGCUUUAACACGUUAAGCUUCGCGCCGCUCAUACCGUUGCCAACGUCAAGCACCGCCACCAGAUCCAUCGCCUGCCGUCUCCGCAGCGGCGGCGACGGCGCCGGAGCCUUGACUCGUAAAACCAAAGCACGAGUUUCAAAGUUUGGGGAAACUGAUAUAAUGGCGCACUCGUGCAUGAGCUUGACUCGAACAGUUUUCGACUCAGCGUUGUGUCGCAACGAGGAUUGAGGAUAUGGAUGGACGGAAAAGCCAGGGAAGACUGAUACAUCGUCGUUUUCAUCCUCAUCCUCGUGCGAGCUUUCAUCCGCUUCAGGAAUUGGAACGAUUUGCGUGGAGCACGUGAGAGAAGUUGGUAGAGGCUCGUCGUCGUCGUAGGAAGCUACCGAUUGGGAGAAAGGAGGAGCGAGUGGUUUCUGGUUUGGGGUUUGAACGGUGCGAAGGACGGCGUCGUUUUGGUGGAGCGGGACGUCGUUCCACGUGGCAUGACAGACGGGGCAGACGUGGGAGCGUGCAUGGGAAACUACGCAAGGAAAAUGAAACGCGUGACCGCACUCAGCAGUGUAAAUGGCAGUUCCCUGUCCCGUCUUCACGCUAUUCGAACAGAUUCCGCAAUUACUCUGAAAUCUCAAAGUAAGAGUAAUUAUUGUUAGAAAUGAAUAGGAGAAAUUAUUGUUAGAUAGGAAAAGGAGAACAGCGGACGAGAAAUAGAAGAAAGUAGCUUACUCUGAAUUUGAAGGUGUUUUUGAAGAGGGAGAGGGGAGAAGAAGGAGGGUGGUGGUGCAGUGACGGCGAGGAGAGGAAGCUGAAUCUGGCGCAGGUUCCAGGAGAAGGAGAGGAGCUUUGGGUGGCGCGUUUGGAGUGUAGUGUGGAUUCUGGGUCGCUAGUGCAAAAGGCUCUUCUCCAAGCGGUUCCCAUGUUUAUGCGAGAUCCAAGGUGCUUCUCUAGGUAAAACAUAAUGACUUGGUCUUGUCGUUGCGUC
Molecule: small RNA, 2404 nt
Filed under: Vigna angularis var. angularis
Lineage: Eukaryota; Viridiplantae; Streptophyta; Magnoliopsida; Fabales; Fabaceae
Description: Non-protein coding transcript
Source: RNAcentral